GAUGAACGCUGGCGGCGUGCCUAAUACAUGCAAGUCGAGCGAACGGACGAGAAGCUUGCUUCUCUGAUGUUAGCGGCGGACGGGUGAGUAACACGUGGAUAACCUACCUAUAAGACUGGGAUAACUUCGGGAAACCGUAGCUAAUACCGGAUAAUCUUUUGAACCGCAUUGUUCAAAAGUGAAAGACGGUCUUGCUGUCACUUAUAGAUGGCUCCGCGCUGCAUUAGCUAGUUGGUAAGGUAACGGCUUACCAAGGCAACGAUGCAUAGCCGACCUGAGAGGGUGAUCGGCCACACUGGAACUGAGACACGGUCCAGACUCCUACGGGAGGCAGCAGUAGGGAAUCUUCCGCAAUGGGCGAAAGCCUGACGGAGCAACGCCGCGUGAGUGAUGAAGGUCUUCGGAUCGUAAAACUCUGUUAUUAGGGAAGAACAUAUGUGUAAGUAACUGUGCACAUCUUGACGGUACCUAAUCAGAAAGCCACGGCUAACUACGUG
Molecule: ribosomal RNA, 497 nt
Filed under: uncultured bacterium
Lineage: Bacteria
Description: partial 16S ribosomal RNA
Rfam family: Bacterial small subunit ribosomal RNA
Source: RNAcentral